GACAACACUAGAGCGUGGGCUGGCCUCGACUUGCAGUUCACCGUCGAGGAGCGUGCAUUUUUCUUUGCGUCCACCACCAUGCAAAUUGGGAAUAGCAUGGAGGCCCUCUUUUGGGAAGACCGAUGGAUCGACGGGCGAUCCGUUCGCGAGACCGCGCCGCUCCUAUAUGCAUGCAUUCCCAAGCGCCGCCACAAACUCAGGACCGUCGCCGAUGGGCGCGGGACAUACACGACACGGUUGGCAUCCAUGAGAUCGGGCAAUACUUGUAGCUCUGGCACACAAUCAGCCGCACGACGCUCUCUGCCGAGCCGGACCGCCACUCCUAGAAGUGGAGUCCUCGUGGCGUCUACUCCGCCAAAUCGGUCUACAUCGCCACUUUCGGUGGCUCCACGGGCUGCGCUGCAUGGAAGCUCACCUGAAAGAACUGGGCGCCUCCGCGCGUCCGAUUCUUCCAUUGGCUCGUCCGCCUCGACCGGUGUUGGACGGCAGACCGCCUCGCCCGCCGCGGCCUGCAGCACCCCGCGCGAUGCCUCCUCUGCGACCAGGCCUCGAGACCAUGCACCACCUCAUCCUCGCCUGGCCCUUCGCCCGACAGCUCUCCUGCUCUCGGCUCCACUGGCUCUGGCUCUCCUGCGUCUCGCCCGACUGGUGGCAAACGGCGCAGCAGUUCACUCCAAAACCUAUGCGCAAGGGCAUCGCCUCCGCGACCCUCCUCGUCCCAUGGAUGAUUUGGAUACACCGUAA
RNAcentral lists this ribosomal RNA (744 nucleotides) under Triticum aestivum (bread wheat). Its description in RNAcentral is "partial small subunit ribosomal RNA". Lineage: Eukaryota; Viridiplantae; Streptophyta; Magnoliopsida; Poales; Poaceae. The record is from RNAcentral.